Molecule: ribosomal RNA, 632 nt
Filed under: uncultured bacterium
Lineage: Bacteria
Description: bacterial SSU rRNA
Rfam family: Bacterial small subunit ribosomal RNA
Source: RNAcentral
UGCAGUCGAGCGAGACCCAACCGGUGGCAACACCGGGGAAGGCCGAGCGGCGAACGGGUGAGUAACACGUGAGCAACCUGCCCCGAAGACCGGGAUAACACCGGGAAACCGGUGCUAAUACCGGAUGUCCCCACCAGGCCGCAUGACCAGGUGAGGAAAUGCCUGCAUCUAAUAAGUGCAGCACGCUUCGGGAGGGGCUCGCGGGCUAUCAGCUUGUUGGUGGGGUAACGGCCCACCAAGGCGACGACGGCUAGCUGGUCUGAGAGGACGACCAGCCACACUGGGACUGAGACACGGCCCAGACUCCUACGGGAGGCAGCAGUGGGGAAUCUUGCGCAAUGGGCGAAAGCCUGACGCAGCAACGCCGCGUGGGGGAUGAAGGCCUUCGGGUCGUAAACCCCUUUCAGCAGGAACGAAAUUGACGGUACCUGCAGAAGAAGCCCCGGCCAACUACGUGCCAGCAGCCGCGGUAAUACGUANGGGGCGAGCGUUGUCCGGAUUCAUUGGGCGUAAAGAGCUCGUAGGCGGGCCUGAUAAGUCGGGUGUGAAAUCUCCAGGCUCAACCUGGAGAGGUCAUUCGAUACUGUCAUGGCUAGAGUCCGGUAGGGGACCACGGAAUUCCUGGUGUAGCG